UGUAUUGAAGCUAAAUGGUAGAGCACCUGCCUAGCAUGCACCAAGCCCUGAGUUCAAUUCCCAGCACCACUU
This 72-nucleotide transfer RNA is filed under the name Heterocephalus glaber (naked mole-rat). It matches the Rfam family "tRNA". From Rfam's summary of the family: Transfer RNA (tRNA) molecules are approximately 80 nucleotides in length. The record is from Rfam by way of RNAcentral. Lineage: Eukaryota; Metazoa; Chordata; Mammalia; Rodentia; Bathyergidae.